GUGUGCAUUGGUGUAGAUGCAAUUCAGUUGGGCUACUGAUCCUUCCGCCUUUUGGGGGUGACGAGCCCUAAUUCCUAUGAGACCGUUCUCAGUGGGCUACUUUUCCAGGAUUUCUGGACAUGAAGCAUUAUAGUCAAAGAUACUUCUUCAGCUUAGCACAGAUCCCAGAUGAGCAGACCAGGAAGCUGUACAGUGACAGACAAUGCACACAGGUUAAAAGUGGAAGAGCUGGUCAAUGCAGAUCCAUCUACUUCACCUUGGAAAGACAUCAGGAAUUAGGAAAACACUCAGGAAAGCAAGACUUUGCACUAUUAAGCUGUGCUGCAAAUGGAGCUCAGUAUCAACAAUUAGCAACAGAAAUGUGUUUAGAUGGAAACUUGGGAGUCAGGUCAGCAAAUACUUUGCUCCACCAAAUGUUUGUCUUGACUGAACCAGCUGCAAGAUCAGGCGAGCACCUAGAAUCUUCUCUUUAAGACAGGACUUCUGAAAAACAAA
This is a long non-coding RNA of Lepidothrix coronata (blue-crowned manakin), 495 nucleotides long. RefSeq lists it as uncharacterized. Lineage: Eukaryota; Metazoa; Chordata; Aves; Passeriformes; Pipridae. The transcript is spliced from 3 exons. The record is from RefSeq and is a predicted model, not a curated record.